RNAcentral lists this ribosomal RNA (765 nucleotides) under Streptomyces sp. Its description in RNAcentral is "bacterial SSU rRNA". It matches the Rfam family "Bacterial small subunit ribosomal RNA", at positions 91 to 868 of the family's 1533-position model. The record is from RNAcentral. Lineage: Bacteria; Bacillati; Actinomycetota; Actinomycetes; Kitasatosporales; Streptomycetaceae.
GAUAGUGGCGAACGGGUGAGUAACACGUGGGCAAUCUGCCCUUCACUCUGGGACAAGCCCUGGAAACGGGGUCUAAUACCGGAUAACACUCUGUCCCGCAUGGGACGGGGUUAAAAGCUCCGGCGGUGAAGGAUGAGCCCGCGGCCUAUCAGCUUGUUGGUGGGGUAAUGGCCUACCAAGGCGACGACGGGUAGCCGGCCUGAGAGGGCGACCGGCCACACUGGGACUGAGACACGGCCCAGACUCCUACGGGAGGCAGCAGUGGGGAAUAUUGCACAAUGGGCGAAAGCCUGAUGCAGCGACGCCGCGUGAGGGAUGACGGCCUUCGGGUUGUAAACCUCUUUCAGCAGGGAAGAAGCGAAAGUGACGGUACCUGCAGAAGAAGCGCCGGCUAACUACGUGCCAGCAGCCGCGGUAAUACGUAGGGCGCAAGCGUUGUCCGGAAUUAUUGGGCGUAAAGAGCUCGUAGGCGGCUUGUCACGUCGGAUGUGAAAGCCCGGGGCUUAACCCCGGGUCUGCAUUCGAUACGGGCUAGCUAGAGUGUGGUAGGGGAGAUCGGAAUUCCUGGUGUAGCGGUGAAAUGCGCAGAUAUCAGGAGGAACACCGGUGGCGAAGGCGGAUCUCUGGGCCAUUACUGACGCUGAGGAGCGAAAGCGUGGGGAGCGAACAGGAUUAGAUACCCUGGUAGUCCACGCCGUAAACGUUGGGAACUAGGUGUUGGCGACAUUCCACGUCGUCGGUGCCGCAGCUAACGCAUUAAGUUCC